GGAAAUCUCACCAGGCCCGGACAAUGGAAGGAUUGACAGAUUGAUACCUCUUUCUUGAUUCUGUGGGUGGUGGUGCAUGGCCGUUCUUAGUUGGUGGAGUGAUUUGUCUGGUUAAUUCCGUUAACGAACGAGACCUCGACCUGCUAAAUAGAGCGACGAAUCCUUGUGAUUCGUUGGUACUUCUUAGAGGGACUGUUGGUGCCUAGCCAAUGGAAGUUCGAGGCAAUAA
This 229-nucleotide ribosomal RNA is filed under the name uncultured eukaryote. Its description in RNAcentral is "partial 18S ribosomal RNA". It matches the Rfam family "Eukaryotic small subunit ribosomal RNA", at positions 1208 to 1456 of the family's 1831-position model. The record is from RNAcentral.